UCCAUAGCUUAGACCAAGGUGAAAAUGGAUGUUCGAACUCUAAGAAAUAAAAAUCAGUCUGAUCUCGGAAGCUAAACAGGAUUGGGCCUGGUUAGUACUUGGAUGAGAGACCACCUAGGAAGACCAGGUGUUAUAGGCA
Pteropus alecto (black flying fox) is the source of this 139-nucleotide non-coding RNA. Lineage: Eukaryota; Metazoa; Chordata; Mammalia; Chiroptera; Pteropodidae. The record is from Rfam.